RNAcentral lists this ribosomal RNA (253 nucleotides) under uncultured bacterium. RNAcentral's name for it is "partial 16S ribosomal RNA". It matches the Rfam family "Bacterial small subunit ribosomal RNA", at positions 524 to 776 of the family's 1533-position model. The record is from RNAcentral.
UACAGAGGGUGCGAGCGUUGUCCGGAAUCACUGGGCGUAAAGGGCGCGUAGGUGGCUUGGUAAGCGUGUGGUGAAAGCCUGGGGCUCAACCCCAGGUCUGCCGUGCGAACUGCCAAGCUUGAGCAUAGUAGAGGCAGGUGGAAUUUCGGGUGUAGCGGUGAAAUGCUUAGAUAUCGUCAAGAACACCGAUAGUGUAGACAGCUUACUAAGCUUUAACUGACGCUGAGGCACGAAAGUGUGGGGAUCAAACAGG